This 70-nucleotide transfer RNA is filed under the name Camelus bactrianus (Bactrian camel). It matches the Rfam family "tRNA". From Rfam's summary of the family: Transfer RNA (tRNA) molecules are approximately 80 nucleotides in length. Their secondary structure includes four short double-helical elements and three loops (D, anti-codon, and T loops). Further hydrogen bonds mediate the characteristic L-shaped molecular structure. tRNAs have two regions of fundamental functional importance: the anti-codon, which is responsible for specific mRNA codon recognition, and the 3' end, to which the tRNAs corresponding amino acid is attached (by aminoacyl-tRNA synthetases). tRNAs cope with the degeneracy of the genetic code in two manners: having more than one tRNA (with a specific anti-codon) for a particular amino acid; and 'wobble' base-pairing, i.e. permitting non-standard base-pairing at the 3rd anti-codon position. Lineage: Eukaryota; Metazoa; Chordata; Mammalia; Artiodactyla; Camelidae. RNAcentral also lists the same sequence under 2 other names. The record is from Rfam by way of RNAcentral.
GGGGGUAGCCCAGUGGUAGAGCACAUGCUUAACAUGCACAAGGUCCUGGGUUCAAUCCCCAGUACCUCUA